This 72-nucleotide transfer RNA is filed under the name Schizocladia ischiensis. RNAcentral describes it as "tRNA-Asn". It matches the Rfam family "tRNA". From Rfam's summary of the family: Transfer RNA (tRNA) molecules are approximately 80 nucleotides in length. Their secondary structure includes four short double-helical elements and three loops (D, anti-codon, and T loops). Further hydrogen bonds mediate the characteristic L-shaped molecular structure. tRNAs have two regions of fundamental functional importance: the anti-codon, which is responsible for specific mRNA codon recognition, and the 3' end, to which the tRNAs corresponding amino acid is attached (by aminoacyl-tRNA synthetases). tRNAs cope with the degeneracy of the genetic code in two manners: having more than one tRNA (with a specific anti-codon) for a particular amino acid; and 'wobble' base-pairing, i.e. permitting non-standard base-pairing at the 3rd anti-codon position. The record is from RNAcentral. Lineage: Eukaryota; Schizocladiophyceae; Schizocladiales; Schizocladiaceae.
UCUUCAGUAGCUCAGUGGUAGAGCAUGUGGCUGUUAACCAUAGGGUCGUUGGUUCAAUCCCAACCUGAAGAG